UGGGGAAUAUUGGACAAUGGGCGCAAGCCUGAUCCAGCCAUGCCGCGUGGAUGAUGAAGGCCCUAGGGUUGUAAAGUCCUUUUAACGGGGAAGGGGUGCACGGUGAAUAGCCGGCGCACUUGACGGUACCUUCAGAAGAAGCUCCGGCUAACUAC
RNAcentral lists this ribosomal RNA (155 nucleotides) under uncultured bacterium. Its description in RNAcentral is "partial 16S ribosomal RNA". It matches the Rfam family "Bacterial small subunit ribosomal RNA", at positions 355 to 504 of the family's 1533-position model. The record is from RNAcentral.